GAGGAAUAGGGCCACAGAGACGAGCGUAUUAAGUUACGGUGAAACGCGGUAACCUCCAUUCGCAGCAAGACCAAAUAGGCUGGCAUUGGCGUGGCUCGCGUCGCCAGCGGGUAGGUUGCUUGAGCGCAUGAGUAAUUGUGCGCCUAGAUGAAUGACUGUCAUGCGUUGUAAAACGUAAACAGAACCCGGCUUAUCGGCCAGCUUCAACU
Molecule: RNase P RNA, 209 nt
Filed under: Methylotenera sp.
Lineage: Bacteria; Pseudomonadati; Pseudomonadota; Betaproteobacteria; Nitrosomonadales; Methylophilaceae
Description: partial RNase P RNA component class A
Rfam family: Bacterial RNase P class A
About the family: Ribonuclease P (RNase P) is a ubiquitous endoribonuclease, found in archaea, bacteria and eukarya as well as chloroplasts and mitochondria. Its best characterised activity is the generation of mature 5'-ends of tRNAs by cleaving the 5'-leader elements of precursor-tRNAs.
Source: RNAcentral